UGGGGUCUGGUGCCUCUGGACCCCACCAUGGAUGCCAUGCCCUUGGCCCAUAUUGACAGUGCCUGUGGUGGAGGAGGACACUGGCUGGUGGAUGGCAUGCUAGCAUGGAACAGCGGAUCCCCCACUUCUAUACUACUGUGUAUUGAGCUGGUCCCUAAGUGAAUUAUGAUUGAUUGCAUAACACAGUAGUAAGCUACGAUAACGAGGUAAUGAGCAAGGAUUAACACCUACCAAACCAUAGACUAACGAGAGGGAAGAAUCAAACAGAGCUGAGAACUCUUUGAAACUUCACUGUUAAAGGUACAAAAGCCUCGGUUUGAACUAAUGAAUGCUGGAGACCGACUCUUGGGACUGAAUAUCCCCUGAUCAACUGCUUUCAGAGCCCUAUUCAUCACAGAAGUGAAUUAAUCAAAAUUCAUCAAUGGACUCCUGAGACUGCACGUACAUGAGGACAUGACCCCUGGAGCUGACAGCUGCCAUCCAGUAGCCACCAAGGGGGAUGUCCCAUGAGGUCAACGACCCCUGGAUUGGGGGAAGAAAUAAGAUGGGUUUGGCCCCAUGCUCCCAAAGCCACCUUCUUGACAGCCUACUAAAUCGCCCGUGGCAGAUUUCAAUACCUAUUUAUCAGCCUGGCAGCAACUUAUCCCGGUGGAGGGGUCUGGGACCAUACAUCCACAUUGAAUGGAUUUUCUGGACGGCAAUUAUAGUUAUAGGACUGGUGCAACUUUCCAAUGGUGACUCUGGAGAGCCAAGAGACAGAAGCACUAUGUGAAACUUCACAACAUUUCACACUUUGUGAAACAUUGCAACAUUUCUCAGAUAAGAUGUUCAGCAACUGCUACAGUCUCCUGCCUUUCCUCAGAUUGUGGCUUGGCCAUGCACAGUGGCACGCAGUGGCAAUGGUAAGUCAAGUGGUCAUAAACAGCAGCCAGGAGGCCACUGCAGGCCACCAAACAAUCCCCCCCACCCCACUAUGUCCUUUGUGGGCAAUCUUGCAAUGGUUUAUGACGGGCCGCAGGCAACUGGCCAUCACCUGAACACUUUCCUCUCCCCGCACCAUCUACCCAUGCAAAACAACCACUAUGAUGCACGGUUGCACAGCCCUCAGUGCCAGAAGUCAUGAUGUGAAGAGCUCCAGGACAACUGUUGUGAGGGUCCUGCAUAGGGAUACCAUAUUUCCAGUUCUAAAAAAGAGGACACCUGUCCAGGGGGGAGGGGCAACGGUUGUUUGGGGUGGGGCAUUUCUAACUGUUACAGUAAAUAACAAGUGUUAUUGCCUCAGAAAUUUAAUGAGAAACAAAAGCAUUAAGUAAAUGCUGAAAUUGCACUCAGCUAGCAGACUGCACUCCUGCUUUAUGCAGUGUCUGCUCAAUCACUACAGUAAGAACUAGGUUUUCUUUUUUCUGUUUAAAAAUUGAAAAUUGUCUCAUAAAUAACCUGAGUUCACUGAUUUAAAAAAAUCUGGACCUGCAUUUUUCCAUGAUUAAAUUGAAACACCACUAUAUAUAUAUUGCUGUCAAUUUAACACGUUU
Alligator sinensis (Chinese alligator) is the source of this 1532-nucleotide long non-coding RNA. RefSeq lists it as uncharacterized. The record is from RefSeq and is a predicted model, not a curated record. NCBI's taxonomy places the organism in Eukaryota, Metazoa, Chordata, Crocodylia, Alligatoridae. The transcript has 3 exons.